GAUGAACGCUGGCGGCGUGCCUAACACAUGCAAGUCGAGCGAAGCACCUUACUUGAUUUCUUCGGGAUGAAAGUAUUGUGACUGAGCGGGCGACGGGUGAGUACGCGUGAUACUGCUCAUACAGGGGAUAACAGUUAGAAAUGACUGCUAAUACCGCAUAAGACCACAGCACCGCAUGGUGCAGGGGUAAAAAACUCCGGUGGUAUGAGAUGGAUCCGCGUCUGAUUAGGUAGUUGGUGGGGUAACGGCCUACCAAGCCGACGAUCAGUAGCCGACCUGAGAGGGUGACCGGCCACAUUGGGACUGAGCACGGCCAA
RNAcentral lists this ribosomal RNA (317 nucleotides) under uncultured bacterium. RNAcentral's name for it is "bacterial SSU rRNA". It matches the Rfam family "Bacterial small subunit ribosomal RNA", at positions 28 to 333 of the family's 1533-position model. The record is from RNAcentral.